RNAcentral lists this non-coding RNA (30 nucleotides) under Homo sapiens (human). Lineage: Eukaryota; Metazoa; Chordata; Mammalia; Primates; Hominidae. The record is from RNAcentral.
UGCGGAGUUGCUCUCUCCGGGCUCAGUGGA